CGUCAGGUAGCUCAGUGGUUUAGAGCAGUCGCCCGGCAAGCGAAAGACCCGGGUUCGAUUCUCGGUCUAGCGA
Molecule: transfer RNA, 73 nt
Filed under: Harpegnathos saltator (Jerdon's jumping ant)
Lineage: Eukaryota; Metazoa; Arthropoda; Insecta; Hymenoptera; Formicidae
Rfam family: tRNA
About the family: Transfer RNA (tRNA) molecules are approximately 80 nucleotides in length.
Source: Rfam by way of RNAcentral